RNAcentral lists this unclassified non-coding RNA (333 nucleotides) under uncultured fungus. RNAcentral's name for it is "sequence contains ITS1". The stretch from base 1 to 103 matches the Rfam family "5.8S ribosomal RNA", at positions 50 to 154 of the family's 154-position model. Lineage: Eukaryota; Fungi. The record is from RNAcentral.
AAAAUGCGAAACGUGAUGCGAUUUGCAUGAAUCUGUGAGUCAUCUAAUUUUUGAACGCGAAUGGCACUGUUACGUAAGUAGCAGUAUGUCUGUUUGAGAAUCGCAAAACAAGAUCAACUCUAGUUGAGAGUUGGGAUUGACCUUAUGUGCCUUUGGGUACAUUUGGUUUAAAUAGAUCGAGUUGAUGAGCUUCCCAAUACGGCUCAAUGUGUGCUAGCGAGACAGUCGUCCCGAUCUCACAUUUCGGCCGUGUUGCAGAGUUCUGAGCACAAUUCGCUAAACUCAUAAAUCAAAUACGAUCUCAAAUCAGGCAAGAUUACCCGCUGAACUUAA